Sarcophilus harrisii (Tasmanian devil) is the source of this 1568-nucleotide long non-coding RNA. RefSeq lists it as uncharacterized. The record is from RefSeq and is a predicted model, not a curated record. NCBI's taxonomy places the organism in Eukaryota, Metazoa, Chordata, Mammalia, Dasyuromorphia, Dasyuridae. The transcript is spliced from 4 exons.
ACUUGGUGUUUUUAUGUGAGAGUUGGGCUCUGGUCCUGUACUAUUCCAAGUUUUUUGUUCUGGGGCUCUAGGUCUUUCUGCUCACUUUCACUAAACUUCAGAACUUAAUUGUUUGCCUUCUCUGGAUGGUAAACUUUCCUUCUGGCAUGUAUUAGGAAGGUAGGACCUCCUUGUUGGCCUCCUCUGGGUGUGGGGUUUAGUUGCUGGCCUGUUCUAGGAGUGGGUUGCUGAUGGAUUGCCAUAGUAAUAAAGAGUUUUUCUGAUUGCUGGCCCUGGAGGAGGGAUCUUGUUGCUGGUUUGUUCCAGGUGUGAGGCACUGCUGCCAAGUUGCUAUGGAAACAGGGUCUCUCUGCUCAUAGGUCCCUGGGUAUGGUUUUGCUUUUGUCCAUUUCUGGGGUGAGACUUCACUACUAGUUAACAAUGGAUUCAAGGCCUCACUGGUGCUGGGAAUGGUGUCACUGGCAAUAGGACCUUACUAUACUGCACAGACCUUCUCACUUGCCUAGGAGGCUGCUGGUUUGUAGGAUGCUGGGUCCUUUGUGGUGGAUUGCCACAGGUGUGGAGCCUUGGUGCAGGACCCCUGCUGUGAUGCUGAUUGCUGCUCUUGCACCUUGCUCCCUCCUAUCCCAAGAAGAAGACCAGGCUGGUAGCUGCUUCCUUCCUCUUAAAUCCGUUCUGAGAUCUUCAAAGACUCACAAGGUCGAAUGGGCUGUGUGGACCCAUAGCCAAGCACCUUUGGUGGAUAACACACUAAUAAAAAUGAAGGGGUAGACUGUAUAUUUUUGUUUGCAUGAGUUGCUGUUGAGUCAGAAUCUAACAGGAAGCUGGAGCCAUAAGCUGCCCUACAUGCAUGGCCCCAGGCCUUCUAAUCACCUGUCCUUCCGGUCCUUUGCAAUGACAUGGAGGUGUGCUAUGCUGGAGGCAGCCAGCAGAAGAGCCCUAGAUCUCCCAAUAGUUAAUGUGAUGGAAGAAACUGAAUAGCGUUGAUGCUGGUCCAAUCCUUUUAAGUAGUCCCUCUGCUCCACCUUGGUGUCAUGUAGGUAAAUUCAGUCCAGAAGAGGCCAAAUCUUGAGUGGAAUUUGUGCCUUCAUCUUUCACAGCUGUGGAGAGUUUAGACUAAUUACCAUCCUCCCAGGGAUGCUAUCAUCUUGGUAAUUUGAACUAAAGCAGGAGCCUGAAGGCUUGGAAAACCUUGAGGAAACUCUGGUCCUGAAAAGACAUCAUCACAUGUGGAAAGACUACUUCCUGCAUCAUCACCAAGUGCUUAAGAAUGUCUAAAUUAAGUACUCCUCUGGCGGGAUUUCAAAUGGCCUAAAAAAUCUGAUCACUUGCUUUUUCUUAACUGCAAAACAGAUUCUUUCCCCUUCUAUCAACCUUGCUGCUGUCAGUGCAUCUGAUGUUCAGUACCAGAAACAAUGAACAGUCUCUUAAUGAUAGCAGUGCCAAGAUUAGCACUGUCAAUAGCAAUUUGUCUCAAGAAUCUAAUAGGGCAUUUUAGCAAACCCCCUUUUCUCUCUCUCUGUAUGCAAUAUUAUAUUAACAUAUAUAGAUAUAUAUGUUAAUAUGUG